RNAcentral lists this ribosomal RNA (733 nucleotides) under uncultured Chaetoceros. RNAcentral's name for it is "partial Bacterial large subunit ribosomal RNA". It matches the Rfam family "Bacterial large subunit ribosomal RNA", at positions 847 to 1689 of the family's 2925-position model. The record is from RNAcentral. Lineage: Eukaryota; Bacillariophyta; Thalassiosirophyceae; Chaetocerotales; Chaetocerotaceae.
AGCUGGUUCUCCUCGAAAGCUAUUGAGGUAGCGCCUCGCGUCUAACUCAGGGGGGUAGAGCACUGUUACGGCUAGGGGGGACAUAAGUCCUUACCAAACCGUUGCAAACUCCGAAUACCCUGAAGUUCAAUCGCGGGAGACACACGGUGGGAGCUAAAUUUCAUCGUGAAGAGGGAAACAACCCAGACCGCCAGCUAAGGUCCCAAAAUAUUGCUAAGUGGGAAACGAUGUGGGAAGGCUUAGACAGCUAGGAGGUUGGCUUAGAAGCAGCCAUCCUUUAAAGAAAGCGUAACAGCUCACUCAUCAAGCGAUCCUGCGCCGAAAAUGUAACGGGGCUAAAGCCAUUUACCGAAAUUGUGGGCUUCUUUUAGAAGCGGUAGCGGAGCGUUCCGUAAGCCUGUGAAGGUGACCUGUGAGGGUUGCUGGAGGUAUCGGAAGUGAGAAUGUUGACAUGAGUAGCGACAAAGCGGGUGAGAGACCCGCUCGCCGAAAAUCCAAGGGUUCCUGCGUAAAGCUAAUCUGCGCAGGGUUAGCCGGCCCCUAAGGCGAGGCGGAAACGCGUAGCCGAUGGGAACCACGUUAAUAUUCGUGGGCCGAGGAGUGUGUGACGGAUUUCGAAAGUUGUCAUCCCUUAUUGGAUUGGGAUGGCGGCCUGGAAGUCCCAGGAAAUAGCCCUCCAUUAAGACCGUACCCUAAACCGACACAGGUGGAUAGGUAGAGAAUACCAAGGCGC